AAUCCUGCUCGAAUAUAGGGGGACCACCCUCUAAGCCUAAAUACUCUUCAGUGACCGAUAGUGAACAAGUACCGUGAGGGAAAGGUGAAAAGAACCCCUAUUAGGGGAGUGAAAUAGAACCUGAAACUGCAUGCCUACAAUCAGUCGAAGCUCUUUUUAGAGUGACGGCGUACCUUUUGUAUAAUGGGUCAGUGACUUAAUUUAUUAAGCAAGCUUAAGCCAUCUAGGUGUAGGCGCAGCGAAAGCAAGUCUUAAUAGGGCGAAUAGUUAAAUGAAUUAGACCCGAAAACGAAUGAGCUUACCAUGAGCAGGUUGAAAGUAAGGUAACACUUACCGGAGGACCGAACCAGUUGACGUUGAAAAGUCUUUGGAUGACUUGUGGUAAGGGGUGAAAGGCCAACCAAAUUCGUAGAUAGCUGGUUUUCCGCGAAAACUAUUUAGGUAGUGCGUUGAGUAAAUAGAUGUUUAGAGGUAGAGCACUAAAUGGGCUAGGGGGAAGAGAUUCUUACCAAACCUAAUAAAACUCCGAAUGCUAAACAUUGUUCCUCAGCAGACAGACUGUGGGUGCUAAGGUCCAUGGUCGAGAGGGAAAGAGCCCAGACCACCAGAUAAGGUCCCAAAAUUAUGAUUAAGUGUGAAAGGAUGUGGAAAUUCCUUAACAGCCGGGAGGUUGGCUUAGAAGCAGCCAUCCUUUAAAGAUAGCGUAACAGCUCACCGGUCUAAUAGAGUUUCUGCGCCGAAGAUGUAACGGGGCUAAAAUCAUAUACCGAAUCUGUGGAUUUAUAAUUUUUUCGAAAAUUAUAACUGGUAGCGGAACGUUCUGUAAGCCUGUAAAGGAUACCUGUGAAGGAUCCUGGAGGUAUCAGAAGUGCGAAUGCUGACAUAAGUAACGAUAAAAGAAGUGAAAAACUUCUUCGCCGAAAAUCCAAGGGUUUCUGCGCAAGGUUAAUCCGCGCAGAGUUAGUCGGCACCUAAGGCGAGGGCGAAAGCCGUAGUCGAUGGAAACAAGGUUAAUAUUCCUUGACCAGAUGGUAGUGACGGAUCUUAUAAGUUGUAAAUUCUUAAUGGAUUGAAUUUGCUAUGAAAAGGUUCCAAGAAAUAGCUCCAUCAUUAGACCGUACCCUAAACCGACACAGGUGGAUUAAUAGAGUAUAUCUAGGCGCUUGAGAGAAUGAUGUUGAAGGAACUCGGCAAAAUGCUUCCGUAACUUCGGAAUAAGGAAGACCCUUUUUUAGGCAACUAGAUUUGGGUGGCACAAGCCAGGGAGAAGCGACUGUUUAUCAAAAACACAGGGCUCUGCUAACACGUAAGUGGAUGUAUAGGGUCUGACGCCUGCCCGGUGCUGGAAGGUUAAUGCGAUGGGUGCAAGCUCAUUUCUGAAGCCCCAGUAAACGGCGGCCGUAACUAUAACGGUCCUAAGGUAGCGAAAUUCCUUGUCGGGUAAGUUCCGACCUGCAUGAAUGGCGUAACGAUUUCUCCGCUGUCUCCAACAUCAACUCAGUGAAAUUGAAUUCUCCGUGAAGAUGCGGAGUUCGCGU
RNAcentral lists this ribosomal RNA (1538 nucleotides) under marine metagenome. RNAcentral's name for it is "bacterial LSU rRNA". It matches the Rfam family "Bacterial large subunit ribosomal RNA", at positions 430 to 2073 of the family's 2925-position model. The record is from RNAcentral.